AGAAAACGAGGCAAUUUUGACUCCUGUAUCCCACAGCCAAAAUGAGUUGACCGGGGGGAUCCACAUCGCAGGCAAUACAAUCAGCCAUGGGCAGGCUGAACAGAGUGGUUUGUUGGCGAGGUCGUCGCCGAACUAACCAAAGGCCGUUCAAGCCCCCCACCAAAAACUGGUAUUGCUUGUCGAAGGCUCGCAAGCAAAUCAGCUGCUCACCCUGGCCGGGCAGCUUGGCCUUUCGAACGACCGCUGAAGACCUUGAAGACCAAUUGCUGAUGAGGGUCAGGGUCCCAUCCAAAGAACACGUCAAGAUCUCAUUACUCGAGCUCAACUUAAUAUCUUGGACCCAAUCGCUGAAAAAUGGAGCAUGAGUUUGAUGAGUUUUGUGAAGGGAACCCUCUCUGCUAAAAUGAAUCUGCAUGUCGGGUUUUAUCAAGAUUUCAUCGUUUGCCCUUUUAAAAAGAUACCAUCAUACUAACGGUAUAAGGAUACGAAGGCAACUUUCUACUGCACAUGCUCGCACCACGCCUCGAACCGAACCUGUGACCGUGUUUCCAUUGGGCAAAAGACACACACUGGUAAUAGGAUCGCUGUGAGCCCGAAAGCUGAACUGCGGCGCCAUCUUUAGUCGAUCUAAAACCACCACCUAAAAGCAAUUGAUGUCUUUCAAAAUGGUCAGUCGAUCCCAAGUAAUUCGACGGCUCACCAUCCCGCUGGUAGAACCCAGUGCAAUGGCAUUGUCCCGAAGGCACAUGGAACUGACAUUGCUCUCGACGGCCAUGUGCCGCACCCGUUUAUCUCGCUGAAGUUUCACGUGGGACAGAAUCUGGCACCAUUCUUCACUGAUCUGGUUGCAACUAUGAAGCGAGCUAGUAUCCAAAGAGUUGAAGAUUUGAUUGAUGACGUGGAGCAGGUUCAUCUGCCACAAUGAAGAAAUGAGAUCGAACCCAGCGGACUCGGAUACAAAAUGGACCCAAUUCCGCUUCAGAGCCAUUUUGAAGUAGGAUUGUGCCACUCUUGAACUAUUGAGGAACAAUGGGAUUUCUGAGGUUAUGCAUAGGUCAAUGAACCUUUGUAAUACCACACAAAGGACACAUCGGUUAAGUUUUUGCUUGUUCGGUGCAAGUUUUGAGCCACAACUAUCGCAAACAUUGAAGAAACUUGGAUAGAAACAAGAAAGUCUGGAAAAGUGUGCAGGUGUAAAUGUGUACUAACUCAAUAAGGAAAGGGGACAUGAAGCAAACUUCCGGCAUAUUGUGGAACAGACUGACUCGACGAGGUUUGAACACAGAUAUUUGUAUCUAAAACCUAUUGGAUUUUUUUUGGGGGGGAGAAGAUGGUUUAAUUUAGAAAUUGGAAUCUAAAGGUUCUUUUAUUUGCUCCCAUGAGAUGUUGGCAAAUUGUCCAUCAUCUAGUCAAAUAACUCAUCGAAAUCAAAAUGCAAUUACCAAUUGAUCAAUACCAUUCUUAAUUACGAACAAGUACAUGAAUAAAUAACCGUUGUAAAGCUUCAAGGUGGGCGUAUUUGAGCUGGAAUCUAAAUUCAAAGUUUUGGUAUUGCAAGCAGAUUCGACGCAUUUUGCCUCCAUCUAUUGGUGAGAAUCAGAAACAGCGAUUGAACAUGGCAAUAGAGAAGUGUAAGCUUUGGGAUUUCAUACUUGUGCGCAUGAAGGAAAUGUCACCACAAUUCUUACUGAUAACAAAAUUUUCGGACCAAUUAUUUUUUUCGUAUUUUCUGUAUACUUUUGUCACUUGCAUCUUUAGCAAAUGAAUGUUGGGCUUAAAUGGCUGAAAAUAAUUGUCAAACGACGUACUAAG
Long non-coding RNA from Tigriopus californicus, 1812 nucleotides. RefSeq lists it as uncharacterized. The record is from RefSeq and is a predicted model, not a curated record. The transcript is spliced from 3 exons. NCBI's taxonomy places the organism in Eukaryota, Metazoa, Arthropoda, Copepoda, Harpacticoida, Harpacticidae.